CCUACGGGUGGCAGCAGUGGGGAAUAUUGGACAAUGGGGGGAACCCUGAUCCAGCCAUGCCGCGUGUGUGAAGAAGGCCCUCGGGUUGUAAAGCACUUUCAGUGAGGAAGAACGCCUGGUGGUUAAUACCCAUCAGGAAAGACAUCACUCACAGAAGAAGCACCGGCUAACUCCGUGCCAGCAGCCGCGGUAAUACGGAGGGUGCGAGCGUUAAUCGGAAUUACUGGGCGUAAAGCGCGCGUAGGUGGCUUGAUAAGCCGGUUGUGAAAGCCCCGGGCUCAACCUGGGAACGGCAUCCGGAACUGUCAAGCUAGAGUGCAGGAGAGGAAGGUAGAAUUCCCGGUGUAGCGGUGAAAUGCGUAGAGAUCGGGAGGAAUACCAGUGGCGAAGGCGGCCUUCUGGACUGACACUGACGCUGAGGUGCGAAAGCGUGGGUAGCAAACAGGAUUAGAUACCCUGGUAGUC
This 465-nucleotide ribosomal RNA is filed under the name Vreelandella stevensii. RNAcentral's name for it is "partial 16S ribosomal RNA". It matches the Rfam family "Bacterial small subunit ribosomal RNA", at positions 338 to 795 of the family's 1533-position model. Lineage: Bacteria; Pseudomonadati; Pseudomonadota; Gammaproteobacteria; Oceanospirillales; Halomonadaceae. The record is from RNAcentral.